RNAcentral lists this long non-coding RNA (4448 nucleotides) under Hordeum vulgare. Its description in RNAcentral is "long non-coding RNA (HVUL_LNC017543)". The record is from RNAcentral. Lineage: Eukaryota; Viridiplantae; Streptophyta; Magnoliopsida; Poales; Poaceae.
UCUUCUCCCCUCAGCCGCCGCCGCCACCUCUCCCAACCCCAUCUCCAUCUCUUCCUUUCCUCCCAGGUGAGCUUCCUGUAGCUAGCAGAGAGUACACAGAGAAGAGAGUCGCCGGCGUCUACCCGCGGGCGACGUUGGGCGGCACGGCCGCCAUGUCCGGGGGCUCGCGGCGGCUCCCCGCGUCCCAUUCCCGGCGUUAGGACCCCCGAGGAGCGACCCCCCGUCGAGCUCGUCCUCGUCAACGGGGCGACCCGGGCGAACUCCUUCCCUGCUUCGGUCUACGGCGGACGAACUUCUUCGGCGUCUCCUUCCCCGGUCCGGCUUCCUCUCCGGCAGUUCGGCGCCCCCUCUCCUCCCCAAGGUGAGGCCGCGUCCUCCCCCUUCCUUCCUCCUCCGUGGAUCGGCUCAGACCUCGUCGUGGCGCGUACUUCCCGUGUUCGAUAGCAGCAGUAGACAGAGAUGCAGUAGUAUCGGGUGGUUCUGCGUAGUGUAGAGUUAUGGGGGUGCCGCGCAGAGGAGGGCUUCCUCCCCCCUCUCGGCAGCAGCGCCGUGGCCAGAGGAACCCGCCUCGCCGCCGGUAGUUGUGGCUUCCUGUCACCUCGUCCCCGGUAGAAGCAGGGCGGCAGCGUAGAGUUAGUGCGGUUCCUCCGUCAGUCUAGGGCGCCAUGCGGGCGUGCUCUAGCAGCAGCGGGGAUUCCUUCCCGCGUAGAUAGCUGUUCGUCGUGUGCAAGAGCUCGUCGCCGGCAGCGCAGCUAGCAACGUCGGCUAGGAUAGCCGUCGGGUUCCCUGUCACUGUCGUUCCCAGAAGACAAACAGGGGGCGAUUUCAGAUAUCUAUUCCUGUAUGAGAAUCCCCCUCUGUCAGAUACCUCUUCGUAGCCCAGUGGUCGAUCUCAUGCGUGCCUGAUGAGAGGUUCAGGGUUCGAUCCCCCUCUCGGCCUAUUUUUGGUUUUUUUGCUAUUCGGUGGCCAGCGAAGCAUGUUCUUUUGUUUCCUGCUUCGUUCCUGUCGACAGUAGUGCAGGUGGUGCAGUGGCUAGAUGGUGACUUGUAAACCAGGAGGUACACGGUUCGAAUCCCAGGACCCCUGACAUUUUUUUUGCUAUCUUUCUUUGCUGCCUUUUUUAUUUUUAUUUUUUUGUUCUUCCCUCCCUUGUGUUUGGGCAGCAAGAUGGCAUUAUAAUCUUUUCCUUGCUAGUGUAGUUAGGAGCAGGUUCCUUUGUGUGUGUGUUGCACACUUGCAAGAUGAUAGAGGUUGUAUUGCUAGCUUUGUAAACUUUUGUGGGUUACAUCUAGUGGUGUGAAGAACACUUGGUAGAGGUGUGUGCUUGUGAUGUGUUUUUCUUGUGAAGUGAUGUUCUUAAGGGGGUGAUAGAAGCACUAGCUAUACAUGUUUGGCCACAUCUAUUGAGCUUAAGAGGGUCUAAGUUGAUAUUGUAGUUUCUUUUGUUUGCAAGGGUGUAGUGGGGUGGAUGCCUCCCCCCUCACCACAUGUACUUGAGGUGAUGAGUUGCACUAGAUAGCUAUCUAUGUUAGCAUGUGAGGGUGUGGAUUGUUGUGGUGGUUGCAUAUUGAGGAUGACAUGAAUACUAGGAAGAUCCUAGUGAUGCUUGUGAGAGUGUGCACCAUCACAUGCCCAUAUGUGGGGGUGUGCAUACUCUCUUGUUAGCUUAGAGUUUCUUUUGUGUUGAGCUUGAUGCUAGUGCUAGUGAGGUAUUGUGUGUGUUGGUGUUGUUGAUGUGCAUGACACAAACAUGGGGUUCAAACCCCCAUGUCACUUUGUCAUUGUGCACAUGAAACUCUCCUAUGUAAUUGUCAUCUUAUAAGCAUACCUUAUGGAGUUGCAUUUUCAUUUUGUUGAAAGUUUGGGCUUUGUUUCCAUGGUAUAGAUGGAGCCCAAGGGCAUGGAUCUUGGUGUGUUAGUGGUAGGGGUUUGUGCUCAACACCGUAGUGGUGUCAAUCACCUCUUGGGGACAUUUGUGUGCAAACUAUGCCUAGACAAAGUGGGCAUGUGGCUGGAAAAUUCCAGAUUUUUGAACUCUGAAAAUUUCACAAAGUCUGGAAUGCUGGAGACAUUUUCUUCCCCUGUAGAUAAGGAUGUGCUGGUCAUUAUGUUGAGAACUGGACUUAGUUCAGUGCUAGUGUUUUGAACCUGGUAUGUUUGUGAAGCUUCCUGUCAAUUUUCAAGUUAUUUGGAUUCCAGUAGCUUGUGUUUUGAUUGCUGUCAAAAAGCUUCAGAACAGAAACAGAAACUCAGGUGCAGGAAUUUUCACUAAGUCCCUGAGAUCUGAUGGUUUUGGGAAAGUUUGUAGCCUUGUAUCUUCUAGAGUUUAAUUCCUUUUGCUGUGAUUCUUGCUGGAGCUUGUAGUGUUCUUGGUUGGAAACAGCCACAUAUAUUAUUUGUCAUAUUUGAAGACCUGUAGCUAUGUUGCAUGUUGCUCACAAACAGCUAAGAUGCAGAAACUGGCAGAUUGCGUAGUUUUGCCGUUUUGUUCAAAGUUUGUGUUUAAUUGUUGUUGGGGUGUUCUAGAUUGCUCCAUUUCAUUCAUGUUGGGUUAAUAUAUGUCUUGGCAACCUGGGAACACCAGAUUUGUGCCAAUUGUGUGUGUGGUGGUGAAUCUUUCACGUAGGGCUUCAUAUCGUGUUUCGUUGGUUCCCGUUGAUCCGUAGCUCCGUUUGCAAAGUUCUUUACAUGGUUUUGCACCGUUUUUACGAGAUGCAUCUGUUCAUAUCAUUCCCAUGCAUGUCCAAAUAGUUUAGUGCAAAGUUCUGUCCAGGAACUUGUUGUAGUUUAUCUUGCUUGUGCUAGUGUUAGAAAUAGUGGUGCAUGCUCAACUUUCAUCUCAUGCAUCAUGUGAUUGUUGCAUUUUGUGGUGCUGCUUUUCAUUGGCUGUUAUUCUUGUGUUGGGUAGCACCGGGAGCGGAGACCGAAUACGUGGAGUCAGGAGAGUACGUGCAGGACGAUCCAGAACCAUUCCAAGCUGAGGAUAUCACACGCAAGAUGACAUGACCUUGAUCCCAUCUCUAGACUUGUUAUGUUAGUUUCGAUUCCAUGUCAAAUUGCUCGCUGCCUACCACUGAAAAUAUAUUGCCUCUUCAUAUGCCAUGAGCCUGAACACCUUACUCUUUCCUAGCAAACUUGCAUGGCUAGGUAGGCUUGCUCAGCUAUAAUGUUAGCAUUGUUAGCUGCAGGUGUUUUAAACCCAUGUGAUGACAUGAGCUUGAUAUCAUUAUAUUAAUUUCGGUUAUUUAUUUAAUGUAUCUAUAUACUUGGUAAAUGACGGGAGGCCUAGCCUUUUGCCGGGUGUCUUGUUCCCUUAUUGCCGCCUUAGUUACCGGUUACCGGUGUUUGAUUCCAUAAUGAUCGCUCCUAACACGUUCGGGGUUGUUAUGGUGACCCCCUUGAUAAAUCGCGUAGUGUUAAGGCUUGUCCGGCAGGACCCAACUUUGGUACUAUUUGCUAAUCACCUAAUAAUAAACUGCAUAGGGAAUAGCUACCCCGAGGAAUUUAAUCAACAACCCGGGCCAGUGCUCCUCAUGAGUGUUGGUCCAAACCAGAGCAGCUUAUUACGCUCCCCGGGGCAACUCGGAGUUUUGGCGUGGUAACCAUCGCUCAUCCGGCAUGUCCUGAGACUGAGAUACGCGGCUCUUAUCAGGGUCGUCGACACGUCGGGAGGUCCUGCUAGUCUUGUCUUGCCUUAGCGGUAUAUCUUGCGUAUAGGAAUCUCGGUGAAGCUUUGGUUUACCCCAGAGUCGAGGUUUUCCUCUAAGGAAUCCGACGAGAUCACGAGAUUCGUGAUAGAGGAUGCCUUUGCGGCCUGUGUUCGUUUGUGAUGGACUAGUUGGAGCACCCUUGCAGGGUUUAAUCUUUCGGAAAGUCGUGCCCGCGGUUAUGUGGCAACUUGGAAUAUUUUCUUAACAUCCGGUAUUAGAGAACUUAAACAUAAACUAAUAAAAUAUGCCAACUGUGUGCGUAACCGUGACUGUCCCUUCGAAGAUCUCUCUUCGACCGGGAACACUGUGGGGUUAUGAUUGCCGUAGGUAGGUGUUCAGGACCACUUUCUGAUCAAGUAUUCCCGAUCGUUAGCGUAGACCACUUUCACUUCCUUCUCGUGCAAGUUAGCCACUUAUUCAUUCUUAGGAUGCAGCAGCCUGAAACACUUCACCCUUUCCUUACCCAAUAACAUGACUAGUUCUGGCACCAAGGUCUUAGAUUGCUGAGUCCCCGUGGCUCACGGAUUCCUCCGAAACUUCCAGCAGGUACAGGUACCCCAGAGUCAGAUGAUCCCGACGGCACCCAGCUGGCGUGGCAGUACGACGAGGAGACAGAUCGCCUUUACGUGAACUAUCCAGAGGACUGAGCCGUGGUCGUGAUCGUGGGCCUGCAGCGGGUAGCAUAGCAUUUUCCUUGUUUUGUAGUCCGUACCGGAACUACCUUGUUUGUAUCUGCG